AGAAGGUUACAAGAGCGAACGGUGGAUGCCUAGGCUUCUGGAGGCGAAGAAAGACGUGGUAAGCUGCGAAAAGCGCCGGGGAUCUGCAAACAGGAAUUGAUCCGGCGAUAUCUGAAUGGGGCAACCCGGCUGGCUGAAGGCCAGUCACCAUCAAUUUGAUGGGGCGAACGGGGGGAACUGAAACAUCUAAGUACCCCCAGGAAAAGAAAGAAAUCAUCGAUGUCGGUAGUAGUGGCGAUCGAACCCGACAGAGCCCAAACCGAUACUGUUUCGGCAGUGUCGGGGUUGUAGGAGUUAUCAUAGGAAACGAGUCAAUGAACUGGAAUGUUCUGGAAAGUUCAACCGCAGAGGGUGACAGUCCCGUAGAGGUAAGUUGAUUUGUUCGAGAUAACCACCUGAGUAGGGCGGGACACGUGGAAUCCUGUCUGAAUUUGCGGGGACCAUCCCGUAAGGCUAAAUACUCCCAGAAGACCGAUAGUGAACCAGUACUGUGAAGGAAAGGUGGGAAGAACCCCGAACAGGGGAGUGAAAUAGACCCUGAAACCGUUCGUUUACAAGCGGUCGGAGCCGAGAGGCGACGGCGUGCCUUUUGCAUAAUGAGCCUACGAGUUGUAUCUGUCCGGCAAGGUUAAGUACUUCAGGUACGUGAGCCGAAGCGAGAGCGAGUAUGAAGAGUGCGUUAAGUCGGAUGGAACAGACGCGAAACCUAGUGAUCUACCCUUGGCCAGGUUGAAGUCGCCGUAACAGGCGAUGGAGGACCGAACCGGUUUACGUUGAAAAGUGCUCGGAUGAGCUGAGGGUAGGGGUGAAAGGCUAAUCAAACUGGGAGAUAGCUCGUACUCCCCGAAAUGUCUUUAGGGACAGCCUCGACUUAGCUUCACGGAGGUAGAGCUACUGAUAGGAUGCGAGGGCUUCAUCGCCUAUCAAAUCCUGACAAACUCCGAAUGCCGUGAAGUGAUGGUCGGGAGUGAGUCGCCGGGUGCUAAUGUCCGGUGGCGAAAGGGAAAGAGCCCAGCCCUUCGACUAAGGCCCUCAAGCACAGUCUAAGUUUUUAGAACGAGGUGACAUCGCAGAGACAGCUAGGAUGUUAGCUUGGAAGCAGCUAUUCAUUUAAAGAGUGCGUAACAGCUCACUAGUCGAGCGAUGACGCGUGGAUGAUGAACGGGAAUCAAGACUGUCGCCGAAGUCAAGGCAUCUGCAAUGCAGAUGGGUAGGGGAGCAUUCUGCUCGGCGUAGAAGGUGAGCUGUGAGGCUUGCUGGAGCGUGCAGAAAAGAAAAUGUAGGCAUAAGUAACGACAAUGAAUGUAGAAACAUUCACACCGAAAACCCAAGGUUUCCUGAACAACGUUAACCGUAUCAGGGUUAGUCGGGAGCUAAGGAGAACCCGAAAGGGGAAUCUGAUGACCAAAUGGUUAAUAUUCCAUUACCCGCUAUACAGGCGAAUCGUGACCGAGGAGUGACACUGCCGCCGUCUGACGGAAUAGACGGUUAAAGGACGUAGGGCGACUGAAAUCCGACAGUACCGGGCGUCUUCGGACAACCGGACAGCGCAGGUAAUCAGACUUGCAAGAAAAGCGAAGUAGCGUUAAGCGUAUAGCGGCCCGUACCAUAAACCGACACAGGUGGGUGAGGAGAGAAUCCUAAGGUGCUCGAGUGAAUCACGGCUAAGGAACUAGGCAAAUUGACCCCGUAACUUCGGGAGAAGGGGACCCUGGCGACAGGGCGCAGAGAAAUGGCCCAGGCGACUGUUUACCAAAAACACAUGGCUAUGCGAAAUCGCAAGAUGACGAAUAUGGCCUGACACCUGCCCGGUGCCGGAAGGUUAAGAGGGGGAGUCAUCGCAAGAGAAGCUCUGAAUUGAAGCCCCGGUAAACGGCGGCCGUAACUAUAACGGUCCUAAGGUAGCGAAAUUCCUUGUCGGGUAAGUUCCGACCUGCACGAAUGGUGUAA
RNAcentral lists this ribosomal RNA (1950 nucleotides) under wastewater metagenome. RNAcentral's name for it is "bacterial LSU rRNA". It matches the Rfam family "Bacterial large subunit ribosomal RNA", at positions 1 to 2004 of the family's 2925-position model. The record is from RNAcentral.